ACGGGAGGCAGCAGUGGGGAAUAUUGCACAAUGGGCGAAAGCCUGAUGCAGCGACGCCGCGUGAGUGAAGAAGUAUUUCGGUAUGUAAAGCUCUAUCAGCAGGGAAGAAAAUGACGGUACCUGACUAAGAAGCCCCGGCUAACUACGUGCCAGCAGCCGCGGUAAUACGUAGGGGGCAAGCGUUAUCCGGAUUUACUGGGUGUAAAGGGAGCGUAGACGGUAUGCCAAGUCUGAAGUGAAAGCUCGAGGCUCAACUUCGGAAUUGCUUUGGAAACUGGCGUACUAGAGUGCAGGAGAGGUAAGUGGAAUUCCUAGUGUAGCGGUGAAAUGCUUAGAUAUUAGGAGGAACACCAGUGGCGAAGGCGGCUUACUGGACUGUAACUGACGUUGAGGCUCGAAAGCGUGGGGAGCAAACAGGAUUAGAUACCCUGGUA
RNAcentral lists this ribosomal RNA (434 nucleotides) under uncultured Clostridium sp. Its description in RNAcentral is "partial 16S ribosomal RNA". It matches the Rfam family "Bacterial small subunit ribosomal RNA", at positions 341 to 792 of the family's 1533-position model. Lineage: Bacteria; Bacillati; Bacillota; Clostridia; Eubacteriales; Clostridiaceae. The record is from RNAcentral.